GACAGAGGGUGCAAACGUUGUUCGGAUUUACUGGGCGUAAAGCGCGUGUAGGCGGCUUGGCAAGUCGGAUGUGAAAGCCCACGGCUCAACCAUGGAAGCGCAUCCGAAACUGCUUCGCUCGAGUCUCGGAGAGGAAGGUGGAAUGCUUGGUGUAGAGGUGAAAUUCGUAGAUAUCAAGCAGAACACCUGCGGCGAAGGCGGCCUUCUGGACGAUGACUGACGCUGAGACGCGAAAGCGUGGGGAGCAAACAGG
This 253-nucleotide ribosomal RNA is filed under the name uncultured bacterium. RNAcentral's name for it is "partial 16S ribosomal RNA". It matches the Rfam family "Bacterial small subunit ribosomal RNA", at positions 524 to 776 of the family's 1533-position model. The record is from RNAcentral.